GACGAACGCUGGCGGCGUGCUUAACACAUGCAAGUCGAACGCAGUGGCGAACGGGUGAGUAACGCGUAAUCAACCUGCCCUUCAGAGGGGGACAACAGUUGGAAACGACUGCUAAUACCGCAUACUGAAGGAGGAGAUUGCGUCUGAUUAGCUAGUUGGAGGGGUAACGGCCCACCAAGGCGAUGAUCAGUAGUCGGUCUGAGGGGAGGAACUGGCAGAUGUGGACUUAGACACGGCCCAGACUCCCACGGGAAGGCGCCGUGGGGAAUCUUCCGCCAUGGAAGGAAGUCUGACGGAGCAACGGCGCGUGAGUGAUGACGGCCUUUGGGUUGUAAAGCUCUUUUAGUCGGGACACGGUACCGAAAUAGAAAGCCACGGCUAACUACGUGCCAGCAGCCGCGGUAAUUC
Molecule: ribosomal RNA, 408 nt
Filed under: uncultured bacterium
Lineage: Bacteria
Description: partial 16S ribosomal RNA
Rfam family: Bacterial small subunit ribosomal RNA
Source: RNAcentral